Russula emetica is the source of this 83-nucleotide non-coding RNA. Lineage: Eukaryota; Fungi; Basidiomycota; Agaricomycetes; Russulales; Russulaceae. The record is from the annotation of a GenBank genome assembly.
AGCUGGGUAGUUCAGCGGUUAGAGCACCUGGUAUAUAUCCAGGGGGAUCCGGGGGGGCCUGGGUUCGAAUCCCGUUCUGGUCA